GACGAACGCUGGCGGCGUGCUUAACACAUGCAAGUCGAACGGAAAGGCCCUGCAUUUGUGGGGUGCUCGAGUGGCGAACGGGUGAGUAACACGUGAGUAACCUGCCCUUGACUUUGGGAUAACUUCAGGAAACUGGGGCUAAUACCGGAUAGGAGCUCCUGCUGCAUGGUGGGGGUUGGAAAGUUUCGGCGGUUGGGGAUGGACUCGCGGCUUAUCAGCUUGUUGGUGGGGUAGUGGCUUACCAAGGCUUUGACGGGUAGCCGGCCUGAGAGGGUGAACGGCCACAUUGGGACUGAGAUACGGCCCAGACUCCUACGGGAGGCAGCAGUGGGGAAUAUUGCACAAUGGGCGGAAGCCUGAUGCAGCAACGCCGCGUGCGGGAUGACGGCCUUCGGGUUGUAAACCGCUUUCGCCUGUGACGAAGCGUGAGUGACGGUAAUGGGUAAAGAAGCACCGGCUAACUACGUG
Molecule: ribosomal RNA, 468 nt
Filed under: uncultured bacterium
Lineage: Bacteria
Description: partial 16S ribosomal RNA
Rfam family: Bacterial small subunit ribosomal RNA
Source: RNAcentral